UAAGUCAGAGACGGUGAGGUCCCAUCCUCAGCCUGAAGCUCAAUUAGGAGCUGAGGAGGGGGAGGGGCUAAGGAGAAAGAUAAGGCUCUGAGAGAUAACUUUAUGCAAAGGGCUAUUUGAGACUAUGACAGAAUGACAGUCAAGCUAGAGCUCUCAAAAGAGGAGUGUGGUGUAGAGAGAGAAAAACUAGAGAGGGAGACAGAGGGCAGGUUGUGAAGGACAUUGUAAACCACAUUGAAGAGUUGGGGAUUAACCCUCAGAGUGAUGAGGAGCCUUCGAAGCGGGAGAAUGCGUGGGUUGAGUUCAUGUUUCAGGAAGACCAUUCCAGCUGUGUAGUGAAGAAUGCAGGAAGGUAAAACGACAUCCAGAAGACCUGUUAGGAUGUUAAGGCAGCUCCUAUGGACUGAAUGUUUGUGUCGUUUCCGUGCCUCCCCUAGCCAAAUUCAUAUGUUGAAACCCAACCCCCAGUGUGAUGGGGUUUGGAGGUGGGACCUGUGGGAAGUGAUUACGUCAUGAGGGUGGAGGCCUCGUGAGUAAGAUUAGUGCCCUUAUAAAAUAGGCCAGAGAGCUCCCUGGUCCCUUCUACCGAGUCAGGACACUGUGAAAAGGCAUCUACCUCUGAACCAUGAAGCAGGCUCUCACCAGACACUCAAUCUGUCAGCACCUUGAUCCACGACUCCCCGGCCUCCAGAACUCACAGUCUUAGCAUCCAGCAACCGUGAUGAACUUUCUUUCUAGUUCUAAAAGCCCAGGGAAGUGAAGUACUUUCUUGGCCACCCUCCCUUGGAAGUGACCAGGUGACAGUUUUGAAGUAAGUGAGAUGUCAACAGAAUCCUGUAGGAGUUUUCUGUGAACAUUUUGCUUUCCUGAUGGAAGGGGCAAAGGAGGUCAGAAAGUUUGAAAGAAGAGCAUGACAAUUACCCUCAACAUUGAUUCAAUACCAGCCUGUGAGACCUAUUCUCCUUCCUCAAGUGGAGAAUGUCCAGUGUGGAGGGAGGGAGUCGGUGAACAGUUUCUUCAACCAAGGAAAUCUUCAUUGCUCAAGGAAACAUCUAAUGUGAGAUUAAAGCACGAGACUUUACCCAGCACUUCCUGUUUUGGUCAUUCAUCUGGGGAUGCUGGCUCUUUAUUUUCUACAAGAAGUUGCAUGAAAAAGACAUGGAAACAAACAAGAAUAAAACAAGAAGAGAAAAUAAUGAGGCUGCAUCACUGGGAGGAAAGAUCUGACUCCGGCCUCCCAGCAGGAACUGUCUUAUUGGAGAGCAAUCCAAAGAGAAUACACAAUGGGAGCCCAUGCUUCUUAUCUUGAUGAAAUAGCCUCUAAAUAAUAAAUAAAUAAACACGCACAUAUCAUCCCAGUCGCAGAAACUUGAUUAUUGACUUGGGCAAUCCUUUCUCCAUCUCUUUGUGCCAAUAAAGUUAUUACAAUUGAAUUGAGAGAGGCAGACGCACAAGCAUUGCCGAGACAAGAUGCUGAGUAGUUGAAAUCAAUGACUUGCAGGGCUGAUCUCCUGCCAAGGGCUGCACCAGCUCCCGGGAGGAAUCCGCCACUCUGGCCAGUGGCCCAGCACUGCGGAAGCUGCAGGGAGAAGAUACUGCAUCCAAGAAGAAAGAACCGGGAGAAACAAAAAAGGAGCAUUCUGAGGCCAAAAUGAAAUUCUUGGAAAUUAAAAACAGCAGAAAUGGGGGCGCCUGGGUGGCUUAGUGGGUUAAGCCGCUGCCUUUGGCUCAGGUCAUGAUCUCAGGGUCAUGGGAUCGGGUCCCUCAUUGGGCUCUCUGCUCGGCAGGGAGCCUGCUUCCCUCUCUCUCUCUCUGCCUGCCUCUCCAUCUACUUGUGAUUUCUCUCUGUCAAAUAAAUA
Molecule: long non-coding RNA, 1859 nt
Organism: Mustela lutreola (European mink)
Lineage: Eukaryota; Metazoa; Chordata; Mammalia; Carnivora; Mustelidae
Exons: 7
Source: RefSeq, a predicted model, not a curated record